AUUCACUUUCCAGGAUGCCCAGCGUGGCUCGGUUGGUUAAGCAUCUGCCUUCGGCUCAGGACUCUACCAGAGCUUCGGGCCCCAUUUGCAUCCAGCUGCCUAUGGGUAUCAGUAGCUGUUGGACUUAGCAGAGUCAGUAAGUAGCCUGGGGUUGGGUAUAGAGAGCAAGAGGGAAAGAAUUGCCCUUUCCAGUCAUCUGCCUCCUAGAAGGGCGUGCCAUCUCCUGCUUCCUUCUGUUAUUUUUACUAAUUAAAAAAGAAAGAAAGAAAGAGAAACAAAACUCCAUCGUCAAGGAAAGGCCUUCAAAAUCCAGUGUAUAUUUUAUAUUUAUAGCACAUCUCAGUUUGGACCAGUUCAUUUCUAAUGCUCAAGAGCACACGUGACUAACAUUAAACAGUACAUAUCUAGGGUCCAGAAGCAAAAGCCAGCUGAAACUGGUGGAUGGGAACAUUGUUUUGUCUGCAGAUAUAAAAGAUGCUUCCCCAAGGGCUAUGCUGGCAUUUGACAAUGCUAAAGAAAGCCUAACUGUUCUGCGACUAUUAUUCUUCCUUGGGCUCUUCAAUUUCAAGGGCACAUCAUCCCCAGGUCCAAGUUUUGGGAGAAGCUAUAAGUGAUUGAUACAGCACAU
Long non-coding RNA from Mustela lutreola (European mink), 628 nucleotides. RefSeq lists it as uncharacterized. The record is from RefSeq and is a predicted model, not a curated record. The transcript is spliced from 4 exons. NCBI's taxonomy places the organism in Eukaryota, Metazoa, Chordata, Mammalia, Carnivora, Mustelidae.